Long non-coding RNA from Zingiber officinale, 512 nucleotides. RefSeq lists it as uncharacterized. The record is from RefSeq and is a predicted model, not a curated record. NCBI's taxonomy places the organism in Eukaryota, Viridiplantae, Streptophyta, Magnoliopsida, Zingiberales, Zingiberaceae. The transcript has 2 exons.
CAUCCUACGACUUCUUCUCUUCGGCGGCUUUCGAUCUGUCAUUCUCCUUCCAUUCGAAGUCGUUUAUGGUGUAUUCGUUAUUAAAACUGUUCGUUCGAUUUAGAGAGGUCGCGUGAUGAUCGCAUAGUUCAAAUGAUCUACACCAUCUUGUAUGGUGUUAUGAUUAUUGACAACGUCUUUCGCUCCUAUCUGAUGACCUUUUCUUUAGUUUCGACAUCGUGUCUUCGUUGUUUUUAAGAAUUGUAUGUAGAACUGAAUUAUAAAUUUAAAAUGUAGAGUCGGAACAGAAACUCUUAAGAGUUCGACUUAAUAAUCAAGAUCAUUAGAUUGAAGCAUUUCAAAUCUGAAUGGCGAGGGUAAGAAACCUCCGCUAUCUCUUUGCAUUUAUUCUUGUUUAUGGCGGUCGAUCAGUGUGUCGGAUGGCAGCUCAGACGCAAUUGAAUGUGACAGUUUUGGGAAACUUGUUCUCAUAACCCAACACUCUUUGCUUUUAACUUCUGUUUUAAUCCAAA